AGAGUUUGAUCAUGGCUCAGAUUGAACGCUGGCGGCAGGCCUAACACAUGCAAGUCGAACGGUAACAGGGAGUGCUUGCACUUCGCUGACGAGUGGCGGACGGGUGAGUAAUGCUUAGGAAUUUGCCUUUGUGUGGGGGACAACAGUUGGAAACGACUGCUAAUACCGCAUAACACCUACGGGUCAAAGGGGGCUUCGGCUCUCGCGCAAAGAGAAGCCUAAGUGAGAUUAGCUAGUUGGUAGGGUAAUGGCUUACCAAGGCGACGAUCUCUAGCUGUUCUGAGAGGAAGAUCAGCCACACUGGGACUGAGACACGGCCCAGACUCCUACGGGAGGCAGCAGUGGGGAAUAUUGCACAAUGGGGGAAACCCUGAUGCAGCCAUGCCGCGUGUGUGAAGAAGGCCUUCGGGUUGUAAAGCACUUUCAGUUGUGAGGAAAGGUUGGUAGUUAAUACCUGCCAGCUGUGACGUUAACAACAGAAGAAGCACCGGCUAACUCCGUGCCAGCAGCCGCGGUAAUACGGAGGGUGCGAGCGU
RNAcentral lists this ribosomal RNA (536 nucleotides) under uncultured Gammaproteobacteria bacterium. Its description in RNAcentral is "bacterial SSU rRNA". It matches the Rfam family "Bacterial small subunit ribosomal RNA", at positions 8 to 541 of the family's 1533-position model. Lineage: Bacteria; Pseudomonadati; Pseudomonadota; Gammaproteobacteria. The record is from RNAcentral.